Molecule: non-coding RNA, 91 nt
Organism: Populus trichocarpa (black cottonwood)
Lineage: Eukaryota; Viridiplantae; Streptophyta; Magnoliopsida; Malpighiales; Salicaceae
Source: Rfam
UUUUUUAGAGUUAAAAUGUCAAUAUUUUAACGAGUCUUCUAUUUUUAAGGACCAAUAUCAUUUUUUGACGUGUCUUAUAUUUUUAGAGAUC